Caenorhabditis brenneri is the source of this 77-nucleotide non-coding RNA. The record is from the annotation of a GenBank genome assembly. Lineage: Eukaryota; Metazoa; Nematoda; Chromadorea; Rhabditida; Rhabditidae.
GGCCGCAUAGCGCAGUCGGUAGCGCGUUCGGUGAUGCGAGAGUCUGGCCCUGAGUUCGAACCCACCAGAGGUAUCCG